RNAcentral lists this ribosomal RNA (1086 nucleotides) under Escherichia coli. RNAcentral describes it as "partial 23S ribosomal RNA". It matches the Rfam family "Bacterial large subunit ribosomal RNA", at positions 84 to 1212 of the family's 2925-position model. Lineage: Bacteria; Pseudomonadati; Pseudomonadota; Gammaproteobacteria; Enterobacterales; Enterobacteriaceae. The record is from RNAcentral.
AGGUGAUAUGAACCGUUAUAACCGGCGAUUUCCGAAUGGGGAAACCCAGUGUGUUUCGACACACUAUCAUUAACUGAAUCCAUAGGUUAAUGAGGCGAACCGGGGGAACUGAAACAUCUAAGUACCCCGAGGAAAAGAAAUCAACCGAGAUUCCCCCAGUAGCGGCGAGCGAACGGGGAGGAGCCCAGAGCCUGAAUCAGUGUGUGUGUUAGUGGAAGCGUCUGGAAAGGCGCGCGAUACAGGGUGACAGCCCCGUACACAAAAAUGCACAUGCUGUGAGCUCGAUGAGUAGGGCGGGACACGUGGUAUCCUGUCUGAAUAUGGGGGGACCAUCCUCCAAGGCUAAAUACUCCUGACUGACCGAUAGUGAACCAGUACCGUGAGGGAAAGGCGAAAAGAACCCCGGCGAGGGGAGUGAAAAAGAACCUGAAACCGUGUACGUACAAGCAGUGGGAGCCUCUUAAUGGGGUGACUGCGUACCUUUUGUAUAAUGGGUCAGCGACUUAUAUUCUGUAGCAAGGUUAACCGAAUAGGGGAGCCGAAGGGAAACCGAGUCUUAACUGGGCGUUAAGUUGCAGGGUAUAGACCCGAAACCCGGUGAUCUAGCCAUGGGCAGGUUGAAGGUUGGGUAACACUAACUGGAGGACCGAACCGACUAAUGUUGAAAAAUUAGCGGAUGACUUGUGGCUGGGGGUGAAAGGCCAAUCAAACCGGGAGAUAGCUGGUUCUCCCCGAAAGCUAUUUAGGUAGCGCCUCGUGAAUUCAUCUCCGGGGGUAGAGCACUGUUUCGGCAAGGGGGUCAUCCCGACUUACCAACCCGAUGCAAACUGCGAAUACCGGAGAAUGUUAUCACGGGAGACACACGGCGGGUGCUAACGUCCGUCGUGAAGAGGGAAACAACCCAGACCGCCAGCUAAGGUCCCAAAGUCAUGGUUAAGUGGGAAACGAUGUGGGAAGGCCCAGACAGCCAGGAUGUUGGCUUAGAAGCAGCCAUCAUUUAAAGAAAGCGUAAUAGCUCACUGGUCGAGUCGGCCUGCGCGGAAGAUGUAACGGGGCUAAACCAUGCACCGAAGCUGCGGCAGCGAC